AUAGGUAUACCAUUGAAAUGCCUGAAAUUACGACAAGCUGAUGUGUGUUUUACAACAAAUCAUUCAAAGUUAGUUGUUUUCUGAAGAUCGUCCAUCUCAUUAAUACCAUUCUAAGAAGAAGGAACCAGGACGGAAGUUAGAAAUAUAAGUAGUUCAACUACACAAAGUUGAUGAUUUGAAUACGGAGAGAAUCGAUUAACAUCAUCCAAAACAGGAAGUUCUUACAGUAGCUUCAUUUAUGGAAGGCUUGAUAUUCUGACUGAGAAAGGUGGAAGCAUAAUAAACACCUUUUAUUACUGUUUUUAA
Molecule: unclassified non-coding RNA, 306 nt
Filed under: Limulus polyphemus (Atlantic horseshoe crab)
Lineage: Eukaryota; Metazoa; Arthropoda; Merostomata; Xiphosura; Limulidae
Description: uncharacterized LOC106478127, transcript variant X4
Source: RNAcentral